This 24-nucleotide non-coding RNA is filed under the name Arabidopsis thaliana (thale cress). The record is from RNAcentral. Lineage: Eukaryota; Viridiplantae; Streptophyta; Magnoliopsida; Brassicales; Brassicaceae.
UCGACAUCUUUGAUUUGUAGUAGU